CCUACGGGGGGCUGCAGUGGGGGAUAUUACACAAUGGGGGAAACCCUGAUGCAGCGACGCCGCGUGGGUGAAGAAGCGCCUCGGCGCGUAAAGCCCUGUCAGCAGGGAAGAAAAUGACGGUACCUGAAGAAGAAGCCCCGGCUAACUACGUGCCAGCAGCCGCGGUAAUACGUAGGGGGCAAGCGUUAUCCGGAUUUCCUGGGUGUAAAGGGGGCGCAGCCGGGGAUGCAAGCCAGGAGGGAAAGCCCGGGGCCCAACCCCGGGACUGCACUUGGAACUGCGUGGCUAGAGUGCAGGAGGGGCAGGCGGAAUUCCUGGUGUAGCGGUGAAAUGCGUAGAUAUCAGGAGGAACACCGGUGGCGAAGGCGGCCUGCUGGACUGCAACUGACGUUGAGGCCCGAAAGCGUGGGGAGCAAACAGGAUUAGAUACCCUAGUAGUC
This 440-nucleotide ribosomal RNA is filed under the name uncultured bacterium. RNAcentral describes it as "partial 16S ribosomal RNA". It matches the Rfam family "Bacterial small subunit ribosomal RNA", at positions 338 to 795 of the family's 1533-position model. The record is from RNAcentral.